UACGUAGGGUGCGAGCGUUGUCCGGAAUUAUUGGGCGUAAAGAGCUUGUAGGCGGUUUGUCGCGUCUGCUGUGAAAAUCCGGGGCUCAACCCCGGACUUGCAGUGGGUACGGGCAGACUAGAGUGUGGUAGGGGAGACUGGAAUUCCUGGUGUAGCGGUGAAAUGCGCAGAUAUCAGGAGGAACACCGGUGGCGAAGGCGGGUCUCUGGGCCGAAACUGACGCUGAGGAGCGAAAGCGUGGGGAGCGAACAGG
This 253-nucleotide ribosomal RNA is filed under the name uncultured bacterium. RNAcentral's name for it is "partial 16S ribosomal RNA". It matches the Rfam family "Bacterial small subunit ribosomal RNA", at positions 524 to 776 of the family's 1533-position model. The record is from RNAcentral.